CCCGUAGAUGUUCUGGGCCGCACGCGCGCUACACUGACGAUGGCAACGAGUUUUUCCUUCGCCGAAAGGUGUGGGUAAUCUUUUGAAACAUCGUCGUGCUGGGGAUAGAUCAUUGCAAUUUUUGAUCUUGAACGAGGAAUUCCUAGUAAGCGCGAGUCAUCAGCUCGCGUUGAUUACGUCCCUGCCCUUUGUACACACCGCCCGUCGCUACUACCGAUUGAAUGGUUUAGUGAGGACUCCUGAUUGGCGCCGCCGCCCCGGCAACGGAGCAGCGGACUGCCGAAAAGUUGUUCAAACUUGAUCAUUUAGAGGAAGUAAAAGUCGUAACA
This 329-nucleotide ribosomal RNA is filed under the name uncultured eukaryote. Its description in RNAcentral is "partial 18S ribosomal RNA". It matches the Rfam family "Eukaryotic small subunit ribosomal RNA", at positions 1470 to 1796 of the family's 1831-position model. The record is from RNAcentral.